This 515-nucleotide ribosomal RNA is filed under the name uncultured bacterium. RNAcentral describes it as "bacterial SSU rRNA". It matches the Rfam family "Bacterial small subunit ribosomal RNA", at positions 95 to 630 of the family's 1533-position model. The record is from RNAcentral.
GUGGCGAACGGGUGCGUAACACGUGAGUAACCUGCCCCAAAGACUGGGAUAACACCGGGAAACCGAUGCUAAUACCGGAUACCCCCAUUGAUUCGCAUGGAUCGAUGAGGAAAGGAUUCUGCUUUGGGAGGGGCUCGCGGCCAUCAGCUUGUUGGUGAGGUAACGGCUCACCAAGGCGACGACGGGUAGCUGGUCUGAGAGGACGAUCAGCCACACUGGGACUGAGACACGGCCCAGACUCCUACGGGAGGCAGCAGUAGGGAAUCUUGCGCAAUGGGCGAAAGCCUGACGCAGCAACGCCGCGUGGGGGAUGAAGGCCUUCGGGUUGUAAACUCCUUUCAGUGGGAACGAAAUUGACGGUACCCACAGAAGAAGCCCCGGCCAACUACGUGCCAGCAGCCGCGGUGAUACGUAGGGGGCGAGCGUUGUCCGGAUUUAUUGGGCGUAAAGAGCUCGUAGGCGGUUUGGCAAGUCGGGUGUGAAACCCCCAGGCCCAACCUGGGGACGCCACUCGA